UACGAAGGGGGCUAGCGUUGCUCGGAAUCACUGGGCGUAAAGCGCACGUAGGCGGGUUGUUAAGUCGGGGGUGAAAUCCUGGAGCUCAACUCCAGAACUGCCUUCGAUACUGGCGACCUUGAGUCCGGGAGAGGUGAGUGGAACUCCGAGUGUAGAGGUGAAAUUCGUAGAUAUUCGGAAGAACACCGGUGGCGAAGGCGGCAUCCUGGACCGACACUGACGCUGAGGAGCGAAAGCCAGGGGAGCAAACGGG
Molecule: ribosomal RNA, 253 nt
Filed under: uncultured bacterium
Lineage: Bacteria
Description: partial 16S ribosomal RNA
Rfam family: Bacterial small subunit ribosomal RNA
Source: RNAcentral